UAAACACAAGGCAUAACACUCCAGAGCUCUCAUUUUGGUAUAGUUUACAAGGACUGCAUUUAUAUGAUCGAUCAUAUUUGAGGAAAAGAGAAGAAUGUAAUGCUGGCAAUGCUGAUUGCCUCGCAUUUUAGAAAUUGAUUGCAGAACAUUUAUUUCCGCCAAGUCCAGUAAUUCAGCACCAUGCAGAGCUUCUACAAAAUACAUCCUCUGAAAUGUCAGAGACCAGGAGCAACAAAUGCCUUGAGCAAUGUGGCAACUUCUGAAUGGGUCAUUCCAGUUCUAGGUAAGAAAAGAUGAUGAAGAAGAACAAGAAGCAGCAGCAAUGCAGGCACAGCUGGAUCCUAAAUAAUUAUGUUUCUCAAAU
This 364-nucleotide long non-coding RNA is filed under the name Crocodylus porosus (Australian saltwater crocodile). RNAcentral describes it as "lncRNA (ENSCPRG00005014131.1)". Lineage: Eukaryota; Metazoa; Chordata; Crocodylia; Crocodylidae. The record is from RNAcentral.